AUGAAAAUUUUUCAAGGCAAGUUUUCAAGUUACUGAACUUACCGGCCAUUCGAAUUCAGAGAGGUUUUCUUCUUCACCUUCCUUCGUCUCUCGCCGUCACCGCCACUCACCAUUUCCGUCUCGUGAGCUCACCGUCGCAGCUCAGAAUCGUCGUCUCGCGCGCUCACCGUCGCUGCUCCCAAUCGUCGCAAGCCUCCUUGGCUCAUCAUCGUAGCUCACAUCGUCGUCUCGUCGCUCACCAUCGUGCACUCACUAGAUAAUCAUUCUCUGAUUCACUCUCUAUCUUCUCUUUCUUGCUCAUUACCUCACUUCUUCUCUCGUUUCAGUGUCGAAGAAGGUGCGUGUGGCUAUGAUGAUGAUGAUGAACAACAAUGGCCAAACGAGACAGAGAUGGUAGCUGAAGUGAGACAGAGAAUUUCUAACAUGGCAGGGGUUAGAAAGAGGAAGUUUGAAUUGUGGCAUCUUCCUAUCGAAUUUGUCCUUUAGGGGCUCAUAUUGAUCACCAGGUACUUAAGUAUAUGUCUUUCUAUUAUGACAGUACAAUUUUAACUCAAUGAUUGAUCUUGAACACAAGUUUUAUCAGAAACGUGAUUAAGCAAUGCAUACCAGAGCUGUUUACUUAUUCAAUUUCUUGGCAGCUUUCUCAUGUAAUUUCCCCUGAAAUUCGAAUGAGUUCUAUUCCACUGUUUGAUAAAUGGUCCUUGGGAUUUUAUCUUGUAUGUGUUACUUUUUCAGGAGAUUUUGAAGAGCAAGUUCGGUUCAGGUUUAUCAGUGAUCAUAAAGUCUUGUUGUUUUCUCCUAAGUAUUUUGUUGAAGUUUUCACCCCAUCACUUGUAAAAUUAUCCUGUCAGCUGCAUUCACUUGGAUGUGUGCCACUUCUGUGGAAACAAUUAGUCUUACAACUUGGGCCUAGUGUCAAUUGUGAUACUAACUAGCUCGUUGGCAUUUCAACUGUCAGUUAUGAUCUUGUGUUAUUCUCAUUUUCAUUGUUGUAUCUUUUCUUACCUUCUCUUCCACUUUAUAUUAAAAUCCUUGUUUGGCUAGGGAUUUCUAUGUAUAUCCUUGCUGCCUACUCCAAUUAUGCAUUUUUUUUUAUUAAUAAUAUGCUGAGUUACUUAUCCAAAAGUGGGGAAAAAAUAAUUUUCUGCAGACUGAACAGAAGCAAUGAGGCUUGGUAUCAAUGGACCUUGGAUCACCAAAUCAUAUCUUGAAAUGAUCCUUGAUAAAAAAAAGGCUGGAUUUGCAUGCACUUUGACUUUGUCUUUUUUGCACUCUAUGACUUCUCAAUUAAUUGAGUUAUUUUUUAUUGUUUGAUAUUAUUUCUUGUUAUAUAUGCUGAUGACUGCUUCAAUAGGAUAAUUGUUUUGAGGAUGAUGAGCCAAUUGGCUAAGCAUAACUUAACAAAAGUAGAUUAUAUUAAUUAUCAAGAUAAGAAGAAGCUCAAUUUCCUUGAUGAUCUGACUCAUGCUAAACCUGAUAUUGUUUUCUUUUUACCACUUACAGGUGUUCCUCAUCAUAAGAAGGAGCGUGGUUGUUUUUGAUAAAUUCCUACAAAACAUGUGCAUGCUUACACAAGGAUUAACAGCUUCAAUUUUUCUAAAAAAAAAUUUACUAAUAAAAAAUUAUCUCAUUGCUUCAGAAUUGUGAAACUCUAUCUCAUGUAUCAAUAAAUGCCUUCCUCAAUGCUGAUUGGUCAUUGAGAAGACCAGAAGAAAUACAUUUGUGCUUGGAAGUCAAGGCACUGCAAUCAUUGCACCAAAACCAAUUCGCGCGACUCUUGACCUUGUUACCGGAUUGGAGGAUUUGUCUCAGCCAUGGACUCGGUCCCUCAACUGAUCGAAUGGCUAUUUGCUCGCAAAACCUCUGUUAAAUUGUCUUUGUAAAGUUCUAGUCCAAACACAGUAGGGGGAAGGAGAGUUAGCUAGAAGAGCUUGUUUGUAA
Arachis stenosperma is the source of this 1941-nucleotide long non-coding RNA. RefSeq lists it as uncharacterized. The record is from RefSeq and is a predicted model, not a curated record. NCBI's taxonomy places the organism in Eukaryota, Viridiplantae, Streptophyta, Magnoliopsida, Fabales, Fabaceae. The transcript is spliced from 3 exons.